This 565-nucleotide ribosomal RNA is filed under the name uncultured bacterium. RNAcentral's name for it is "bacterial SSU rRNA". It matches the Rfam family "Bacterial small subunit ribosomal RNA", at positions 96 to 677 of the family's 1533-position model. The record is from RNAcentral.
CGGCGGACGGGUGAGUAACACGUGGGCAACCUGCCUCAUAGAGGGGAAUAGCCUUCCGAAAGGAAGAUUAAUACCGCAUAACAUUGUUGAAAGGCAUCUUUUAACAAUCAAAGGAGCAAUCCGCUAUGAGAUGGGCCCGCGGCGCAUUAGCUAGUUGGUGAGGUAACGGCUCACCAAGGCGACGAUGCGUAGCCGACCUGAGAGGGUGAUCGGCCACAUUGGAACUGAGACACGGUCCAGACUCCUACGGGAGGCAGCAGUGGGGAAUAUUGCACAAUGGGGGAAACCCUGAUGCAGCAACGCCGCGUGAGUGAUGAAGGUCUUCGGAUUGUAAAGCUCUGUCUUUAGGGACGAUAAUGACGGUACCUAAGGAGGAAGCCACGGCUAACUACGUGCCAGCAGCCGCGGUAAUACGUAGGUGGCAAGCGUUAUCCGGAUUUACUGGGCGUAAAGGGAGCGUAGGCGGAUAUUUAAGUGGGAUGUGAAAUACCCGAGCUUAACUUGGGAGCUGCAUUCCAAACUGGAUAUCUAGAGUGCAGGAGAGGAGAAUGGAAUUCCUAGUGUA